This 497-nucleotide ribosomal RNA is filed under the name uncultured bacterium. RNAcentral describes it as "partial 16S ribosomal RNA". It matches the Rfam family "Bacterial small subunit ribosomal RNA", at positions 28 to 507 of the family's 1533-position model. The record is from RNAcentral.
GAUGAACGCUGGCGGCGUGCCUAAUACAUGCAAGUCGAGCGAACAGACGAGGAGCUUGCUCCUUCGACGUUAGCGGCGGACGGGUGAGUAACACGUAGGUAACCUACCUAUAAGACUGGGAUAACUUCGGGAAACCGGAGCUAAUACCGGAUAAUAUUUCGAACCGCAUGGUUCGAUAGUGAAAGAUGGCUUUGCUAUCACUUAUAGAUGGACCUGCGCCGUAUUAGCUAGUUGGUAAGGUAACGGCUUACCAAGGCAACGAUACGUAGCCGACCUGAGAGGGUGAUCGGCCACACUGGAACUGAGACACGGUCCAAACUCCUACGGGAGGCAGCAGUAGGGAAUCUUCCGCAAUGGGCGAAAGCCUGACGGAGCAACGCCGCGUGAGUGAUGAAGGUCUUCGGAUCGUAAAACUCUGUUAUUAGGGAAGAACAAACGUGUAAGUAACUGUGCACGUCUUGACGGUACCUAAUCAGAAAGCCACGGCUAACUACGUG